RNAcentral lists this ribosomal RNA (446 nucleotides) under uncultured bacterium. RNAcentral's name for it is "partial 16S ribosomal RNA". It matches the Rfam family "Bacterial small subunit ribosomal RNA", at positions 329 to 792 of the family's 1533-position model. The record is from RNAcentral.
ACCCAGACUCCUACGGGAGGCAGCAGUGGGGAAUAUUGCACAAUGGGGGAAACCCUGAUGCAGCAACGCCGCGUGAGUGAAGAAGUAUUUCGGUAUGUAAAGCUCUAUCAGCAGGGAAGAAGAUGACGGUACCUGAUUAAGAAGCCCCGGCUAACUACGUGCCAGCAGCCGCGGUAAUACGUAGGGGGCAAGCGUUAUCCGGAUUUACUGGGUGUAAAGGGAGCGUAGACGGCUGUGCAAGCCAGAUGUGAAAGCCCGGGGCUCAACCCCGGGACUGCAUUUGGAACUGUGUGGCUGGAGUGUCGGAGAGGCAGGCGGAAUUCCUAGUGUAGCGGUGAAAUGCGUAGAUAUUAGGAGGAACACCAGUGGCGAAGGCGGCCUGCUGGACGAUGACUGACGUUGAGGCGCGAAAGCGUGGGGAGCAAACAGGAUUAGAUACCCGUGUA